UUCACUAUAUAUGCUAAACGGUGACCUAUAUGGAAUUCGAAUCGAGUUGGGGACAGUUUUCAUCAUCUUACCCGGCUAAUCCCUUUGUUGCAAAGAUGUGUACAAACACUAAUUGUUAUUAUUGAGGGUAUGACACAUAUCAGUCAAUGGGAUGAUAUUUUACUUUGCCUAUGAUGAUUGUAGGCAACAGCCAGCUUUGGCUGGAAAGAUAUGAGGUGGAUAUUUUUAUGCUUGGCGAUACAUUAACUUCUGAUUAUACUUUGCAUUUAUGUAAUAAUUCUGUAUGUUAUAUGAUUCUGUGUUUAUUAGUGUUCGUAAUAAUGAGUUUUUGGGAUAAAAAAUUUAGUUAAGUUUUUCCUGUAUUGUGUGUUGCAUAUGUGUAGUGUAUGAUAAAGAUAUGUGAAUCACAUUUUUGUAUCCACUAUUAUUGGUAUGUUUUUUUUUUGUUCACUUCUUCUUUAAGUAUUGACAACCAAAGUCUGCUUCAUUCUGCUGAUGAAUUUUUUAGACAUUUUUAUUUAUUUAGUAGGGAGCAGGAGACUUUGGUUGCCAAUACGUAAAGAAGAAGUGAACAACAAAAACAUACCAACACAGAGGAUUGAAAAAUGUGAAGCACAUUAUCUCUAUCAUACACUACACAUAUGCAACACACAAUACAUAAAAAACUUAACUUCCAACAUUUUUUACCCUCAAAAACUCAUCAUUACGAACACUCCCAAACAUAGAAUCACAUAACACACAUAAUUAUUGCACAUAUACACAGGUUAAACUAGUCUGAUAAACCAUUCUCUCGGGUUUCUAUGGCGUUCUUCUUCGACCUGGCCCCCUUCUUCCAUUCGAAACAGAACGUAUUGCCUUGCAUUGUAUUAUCAAAUGGAGUAUAUUUGAUCUCUCUGGGUGGCGCACUACAUGGCCAAAAUAUUCAAGUUUGCGAUUUCAUGAUCCUCUUCACACUUUUUGUAAAUUCUGUUGUGAAUUAUUUUUAGAAAUAUCUUUAACAUAUCGGUCAUGAGAGUUAUGUGUCGAAAGUCGUUACAUAUUUUAGCAUUGUUGGAUUUAGAGAGGGAUACAAACGUAGAUAUUAGCCAACCUUGUUGAAUUUUGCGAGUUUUAUAUUAUUGAAGAUAUUUGCAAGGAGAUCUUAAGUCUUCAUCUUGUAAGAGCUUUACAAUUUAACUGUGAAUGUUAUAGGGACCAGGUGCUUUUCCAGUUUUCAUGUUUUCAAUGCGUAUUUUAUUUAAGAUGUUAGAAUGGGUAAAGUAUUAUCAAAAGUAAAGUAUGUUUAAAAGUAAAGUAAAGUGGGUAAAGUAUGUUUAAACGUCUGUCGAUAUCUUGUUCCCUGUUGUCUAAGAAUAGAUUUUGUAAAUAUGUAUAUAUUAUGUUUUCUAUUCGUCGUUUAUUUCUUCUAACGUUCUCAGGAUUCUAUCAUCCUGGUUGUUAGUACGCCACACUGUCGUUAUUUCUAUUUCCAGUUAGUUCCUUUAUUUUCUUGAGGAGUUUUACAUCGUAUUUUUUCUGCGAGUCUCUAUCUCUUCACAUGUUUCUGUAAGCCACUUUUCCUUUGCCUCUUUUUUCUUAUUUGUUUGUGAAUUUCUUUAUAUUUACCGUUAUCUUUGUGUCGUCUUGUGUCGUCGUCUCCAAUUCAUCAUUUUUAGCAUUUCAUCAGUGACUCAUGUUUUUUUUGCCUGUUGAUUUGUUUUUUAGAUCGUCUUCAGUUUGUUUAAUUAUUGUUUUUAAUUCAGACCACAACUUGUCAGGAUGUACUCUACCACUCCACUACCAAAACGUUGUUGUCGACUAAAUAGGACCUUUAAUAAUGAUAUUCUAAACUAUUUAAGCAUUUUCUUGAUCUUUCACUCAGCAUAUAAAACAUGUUUUAAAAUUUAAUAUGUAAAAUAUACUGAAACAUAUGUAAAAGAUAUGUAAAACAUAAUAUGUAAAAUAUUUGCAAAACACAUGUGAAUACGCGAAGACGUGUAAAAAUAUGCAAAACAUGUAAAAUAUGUGUAAAACAUUUGACGUCUUGUUUUACAUACUUAGACCUGAAAUACUGACAGUUUUCGGAUUAUUAUUUACUUUUCAAAUGAUAAUAAAUCAGCAAGAUAGUAAACAUUGCUGAACCUUACUUCGAGCAAACUGUUCUAAACACUCUCCAGAACUAUGAUCACCUCAUUGCAAACACCCUGUAUAUUAUUGUAUGUAGAUGAUGGUUAAAAUGUUUUCUGUUUAUAAGGUGACCAUUAUUCCUCGCUGGAAAUGAAAUUCUAAAAAUCUUAGCGAUGAAAUAAUGUACAUAAUUUUAGAUAGACGUUAAAAAUGAUUUGCUAUAGAAGAUGAAUGAUUUUUCUGAGAUCUGUAAUAUUUACGGUGGACAUAAGGUUUUUAAAAUAGAUGUUAAAGGACUAUAGUCCAGGAACCGAAGCUUUUCACCUCGCAAUUUUUACAGAAUGGAUUUGUUUUAAAUUUUGAGAAUCACUAGUGGAUAGUCCAAGGAUCAAAAUCUAUAUGAUGCCGAAAGGCGCUUUUACCAUGGGGGUGGUUGUCAUCCCAUCUCGGGGGUGGACAUUUUUUAUUAUGUUUUGACGGCAAAAGUUGAUAAAAAUAUUCAUUCUAAGCAAAAAAUGUUCUAUACAUUUUUUUGAUAAAAUUAAUAGUUUUCGAUUUAUUGUUUUCGAAAGUGUUAGUUUUAUAUCGAAAAAAUCAAUAUUUUUCGAUACUCAUUUACGAUUCACUCAAUUUUUGCCGUAGAAAAUUUUUUCAAACACAGUUCUUGGAAAUUAAAAAACCUACAAUUUCACAUUUAAACAUUUUUUCGUAUCUCUGAUGCUAAUCUUUCUAUUCUGAAGAAAAUGGCAUUUUUUAUCAAACUACAAAAAUUCGUUAUUCGGUUUUAACUCCAGUUUUUAAAAACUUAAUCAUUUUAAGCCAGUCAAACUUCUAGAAUCUAUUAAUAAUACAUAAAUAAAGAAGAAUGAAUAAGGCUAAUGACUAAAACACCGCUAACUUACAUUAUUAUGCUUCCAAUUGGAUUUCCCCCUUUUUUUUUUCAAAAAAAUAUAUUGAUUUUUUAACCGUAACUUUUUUAUUAGAAAGUUUGGUAAAAAUGAAUUUUGUAGGUUUUUACAAGAUCUAUAAGCCUACUAAUAUUAAAUCUUUUUAAAAUCCUCAGUCGCAAAAAGAGGUGACUUUGAAAUGGUUGGUAAAGGUGGUUUUUGCAUGUUAUACAAGUUUUAAUUGUCAAUAGCUCACUCAAUUUUUGCCGCAGGAAAAAUUUUUGCAAACCAGGUUCUUGGGAAUUAAAUAAGCUAUAAUUUCAUAUUUAAACAUUUUUUCGUAUCUCUGAUGCUAAUCUAUCAAUGCUGAAGAAAAGGCCAUUUUUUCCAAACUACAAAAAUUCGUUAUUCGCUUUUGACUCAAUUUUUUUAAAAACUAAUCAUUCUAAGCCGGUCAAACUUCUAGAACCUAUUGUCAUAAAUAUGUGUGUUGUUAAUGUCUUCUGGUCCAAAUUAAUUAAAUAGAAUAAAUACGAAUUAAUCUGCUAACAUUAUACUUUUAUUUAGCGGAGUUACAGACAGCAAUUGUACAAUAAUAACAAUAAUAACAAUGAUUCAUAACACAUCGGCCAACGCCUACAUAGUUACUAUUUUCUAACUAUAUAUCAAAAUACUGAUUACUCAGCCUAUUUUAUAUCGAUCUAAAUAAUAACAAUAUACUUAGUUCGAGUUCACGCAUAUUAAACAUGUGAUACAAAACUAUAAACUGAUAUUGUUUUUAUAUAUGCUCAAUACCCCAAAGGUUAAUAACAUUCUUAUUUAAAAUUUAAUUUAUAUCAGAGUGGUCAUAUUAUACUACACUAUUAAUAAUACAUAAAAUUUUUGUCUUCUUGCAAAGAAGACCAAAUAAGGUCAAUGACUAAUUUUAAUUAGGGUGGUGAUUAGGGGGUUGCUUCCGAUCACUUUUUCGCUGAAGAAAAUAGGGACUGACAUUCUUUUCAUUAUAAGUCUCUUAUUUUUUGAGCUAGAUACUUUUUUUAUCUCUGGAGAUAAAUAUUUUUAAAUACUUUAAAUUAGUUUGAACAAGUUAUCCUCGAAGAAUGCAUAGUUUUCCCGUCUUUUGACUUUGAAACUACAAUAUUUAGCAUUUGACGACGAAGAGCUAACAUAAUAAAGUAUAGCUCGAUUACUGUUGGUCUCAAAAAAAAUAAAAAAAACGGAUUUGUUUAUUUUUUUUAAAAGGUACAUUUCUGUUAAGUAAAGUUGUUUUGAUAAAACGAAAACUUUUCGAGUUAGCAGAAAACAUUGAUUUUUUCGAUAUAAAACACUUUCGAUAGCGAAUAAAUCGAACACUAUUAAUUUUAUCAAAAAAAUGUAUAGAACGUUUUUUGCUUAGAAUGAAUGUUUUUACCAACUUUUGCGGUCUUUUGCGGUCAAAAUAUAAUAAAAAAUUUCCACCCCUGAGAUGGGGUGGCAACUACCCCCAUGGUAAAAGCGCCUUUUGGCAUGAUAUUGAUUUUGAUCCUUGGACUAUCCACUACUUAUUCUCAAAUUUUCAAGCAAAUCGAUCCAUUCUGUAAAAAUUGCGAGGUUUUGUCCUAUUUUAAGCUUCAUUACUUGGACUACUAAUCUUGGGAUUAAAUGAUACUUUGUUUGCGCAGUUUAUUCCAUUCUGUUAAUUUACGCAGUUUGAUUUAGCCUUUUUUAAAACUAAAUUUUUUUUACUUUCAAGGGAAUUUUAGAUUAUCUUUAUACAUUUUGCAUAUACAUCUGAAGUUUGAAUCGUUUUUUAACAUCACUCAUAGAACAUUCAUUAUACAGGGAAAAUAUUUAAAAGAAAUAAUACGCUUAAAACUAUGCUAUAUGUGCAGUUUAUGGUUAGGUCGGUUAAAUAUAAUAAUUUUUUCAACACGCAAUUGAAUGUAUCGUCGGUUCACUCAGCUUGGAAAUAUUUUGACACACCUUAUUAACAAAGCUCGGAUUUAUAGGCAACAUAAUUUUAAAGAAAAAAGCGCCUAUAUAGACUAAGCUUUUUAUUAAAAAUGACUGACAUCUUUAUAGAAAACAUAUAGGCAAAUAACUUACUAUUUGUGCAAAGUAAAUUAAUUUAAUAUUCUAUGUCUUUUCCUUUUUUUUUUGAAUUGCUUUAAUUAUUUGUCAAAGAUAUUUGGACUAACUCAAUAUCAUCUUUGGCUUUUGUUCGUCCACACCACUAGGAAUAACAAUUUUUAAUUUUCUUGUUUUUGUAAAGAAUAUUUUAAUUCAUUUUCUUUUCAAUAUUAUAAUUAAUUAUUAGUGAAAGAAUUUAUUAUUUCCAUUGUUUCUAAUUAUUUAUUAGUUUUUGGAACACACCGUAUAUACGAGUAGGUUAAUACCUAAUACAGUGAGUAUUCAUUUUUAUCUUUUUUCAAGUAAAAACCUUAAAGUUUUUUGUAUAUAGUUACCUACCUACUCGUUUCAUUUUUUUAAAAACAAAGACAUUCGCCAACCAACUCUCUUGAUAAGCAGUCACAAUUCCAAAAAGUGUAUUGAAAAUAAAUAUAGUCCUCGCGAGUGAUUUCUACAACUCGACAAUAGCAGUACGAAGAAUAGCAGGCCUGCUCCAGCUUGUUCAACGAGACUUGACAAGGUAGGAAAUCUUUCCAUUGCAAUUUAAUUUAAGGUCCGGUUUUUUUACUGUUAUUUUUUUAUUUUAAAUUCACCCUAUGGUAAACACUCCACUCAUAAAGCUCACUGAGUUAGUAGUCUCCUCCAAGAAGAUUUAGGCUUUUACAACUCUUCGUGAGUCUUUGCCGCGUUCACUAUUGUCUUCCAUUGGUUCCAAUCCUGUGCUAUUAUUUCCCAUGGUCUCACUUCCAUCUUCUCUAACUGCAUCUUUCCACCUUUUUCUAGGCCGUCCCGCCGGUCUUCUACCGUCUGGUCUUUCCCAAAACACAUUGCUAAUCAGUCUGUCGACAUCACUUCGUACCACGUGGCCUGCUCAUCUUAGUCUAUUGGCUUUUAUGUAUCUCACGAUGUUUUCAUGUCCGAAGAGAGUCUCUGAGCAGAUGGGUUGUGAAUUAUUUAAAAUUAUCUCAUCUAAAUUUCCUCGGCAUCCUGUAUGAUUUAUAAUUUUUGAAAAUCUCGGGAGGUUGUAACCAGAGAAAGUAUUCCACCUGUUGUUAAUCUGGUGGUAUGGGAACGCUAUUUAUUGUCGUUUUCUGUGCUACUUCGAUUGAUAACUUACUUUUAUAAUAAAACAUUUAACCUAUUUUUUUUUCAUCGUCAUCGUUCGCCGACGAGUAUUUUUUCCGAUCGCCUGUUUAAUUGGUCCUUCGAGCCGGAUCAAUUGGUCUAUCUUGCGCCACCUAGCGGUAAAUUGCACAUUAUAUUCAGUGUUAAAUAAUUAUCCUGUAUGAUGAGUAGGGUUUUAUGAGAGAAAUAUUUUAGAAUUAAGUGUUACAUAUUUUUUAUAUUGUAGUGGCUAAGCUUCAACUUUUUCAAAAAUACUUUAAACUAAAAUCUAUUUUACAACGAUUAAAUACGUUCAUUUACCCAGCGAUUAUUUUAUUUUAUCACUAUAAUUUUAAAACUAAAAUAACAUACAUACUCAAUUGUUACACUUUUGCGCUAUCUUUCAAAUAAUUGACACAGUAGUACAAACACAAAAGACAAUUUUUGUUUAUACUUAAAAAACGGAAGUAUUUAGUACACCAAGUAUUUUAUUCGUUUCAAUUACUCGUAUAGACAGGUAGGUUAUCCACGCAUCUAGGAAAUUAAAAGUACGUAUUCCAUACAGUAAUUAAUUUUAUCGAAAUUAAAAGUCGCCAGUAGUAACUACCAAUUUUUGUAUCAAUUUUUCAAGUUUUAUCUUAGAAGGGUCAUUUCUGACGAUUACAUACAUUUUGAAGUGAACAUUAAACUAAUAUAAGAGAAAAUGCUAUGCUAAUACAUUGAGCUAUUAAAUUAUUAGAGCCACUUUAGAAUUAAACUUUUUGUUUUAAAAGAAUUUAAAACUAAUGAGUUUACUAGAAACGAAGGUAAUCUAUAAUAUAUUGCUUAAUAUUCUUUAUUUUUGGGAACUUCACAUCUUCUACAUCUUGUAGAAGUUGUACCUUUCGAUUAGAAGUGUAAGAUUAUUUAAGGAGAUAUCCAAGUGUAAAAGUACGAAAUUCAUAUACAGUCAAACCCGCUUAUUAGAAUACCGGUUAUAGGAAUAUCCCGGUUUAAGGAAUAGAAAUUUGAGGUCCCGAAACAGUUUUACUAGACACUAAUGAUCGGUUAUUAGAAUAUCUCGGUUAUAGGAAUACUUUUGCUUGGCACGAAUGCUAUUCCAAUAAGCGAGUUCGACUGUACUUUUUUUUGGGAAUUUCUGAAAUAAAAAGUACUGUACCAAUUGUUUUGAAAAUUUGCAUGAACAUUUAUUAUAAAAAGAAGUACAUGUAAAACAAUUUCUAUAAAAAAUAUUGAAAAUUAAACGAUUUAUGCGCCAUCUGACACCGUGAAAAUAAAAACAUGGCCCCACUGCUGCAAUGAUUGGAACUAAUAGAGAUCCUGAAACCUAAAAUUUCAAAGUGAUUAUUGAAAUAUGUUUUUUCAAAGUAUCAAAAAUAUUCCAUUAAACGGUACUAUUUUACUAAAACGUAUUCAUAUAAGCGGUUAAAUUUAUUAAGGAGUAAAUGGAAACCUUUCGGGACCUCAAAAUUCUAUUCCUUAAACCGGGAUAUUCCUAUAAGCGGUACUCUAAUAAGCGAGUUGGACUGUAUAUGAGUUUGUUAUUUACCGUGUUACUCCUUCCAGUACAAAUAAGUAAAUGAGAAUCACUGACAAAAGUAAUGGAGUCAGUAAUGUAAUGGUAUAAAGCUCACAACAACAUAUACUUACAAGUAUAAGACCGGUACUUACUGUCUCACCAGUAAUAUCACUUUCAAAAUUACAUAAAAAUUCUUACUUUAAUUUAUACAAAGUUUAAUUUGACAGAAAUGACCUUUCUCGGUAUAUCUGCAUUUGUUUGUAGGUCGCUUUUGAGCAUAUUUUCUGUUAUUGGUAUAGCUGUAGUAGGUCUUUUUUUAUACUUUAUUAUAUUUUACAAUCUAUUUAUAUUAUUUUUAUUUUUGUUAUACCACCACAUGCAUUUAGCCCAUUCAAGACUAGUCGUACUGUACAUACCAUAAUAUAUUUAUUGUAUAUUUACUAAAAACUAUUGUAAUUUGUAAGUUAAUUAUGUAAAAUAAAAUUCAUUAGCCUGAUUAGAA
Long non-coding RNA from Diabrotica virgifera virgifera (western corn rootworm), 8227 nucleotides. RefSeq lists it as uncharacterized. Lineage: Eukaryota; Metazoa; Arthropoda; Insecta; Coleoptera; Chrysomelidae. The record is from RefSeq and is a predicted model, not a curated record. The transcript is spliced from 2 exons.